Molecule: ribosomal RNA, 331 nt
Filed under: Escherichia coli
Lineage: Bacteria; Pseudomonadati; Pseudomonadota; Gammaproteobacteria; Enterobacterales; Enterobacteriaceae
Description: partial 23S ribosomal RNA
Rfam family: Bacterial large subunit ribosomal RNA
Source: RNAcentral
GGCACUACGGUGCUGAAGCAACAAAUGCCCUGCUUCCAGGAAAAGCCUCUAAGCAUCAGGUAACAUCAAAUCGUACCCCAAACCGACACAGGUGGUCAGGUAGAGAAUACCAAGGCGCUUGAGAGAACUCGGGUGAAGGAACUAGGCAAAAUGGUGCCGUAACUUCGGGAGAAGGCACGCUGAUAUGUAGGUGAAGCGACUUGCUCGUGGAGCUGAAAUCAGUCGAAGAUACCAGCUGGCUGCAACUGUUUAUUAAAAACACAGCACUGUGCAAACACGAAAGUGGACGUAUACGGUGUGACGCCUGCCCGGUGCCGGAAGGUUAAUUGAU